GACCUCUGCCCCCAGCCUGGCGAGGCCUCUGCCCGGGCCCAGGGCCUGGCUGCAGCAACCACGGUGCCCACCCUCUCCCUCCCAUCCCCGCGGACGUGCAGCCCCCUCUGGUCUGAGAGCGGAAGCCUGUGUCCUCCAGGGUCACCCUGACCCGUCUGAAGAGGCACCAGGACUCUGCCAGCCGCACGCGAGCAGGAGGGCAGGCUGCAGGUCGCGGGCACAGCAGGACCAGAGCACCUCCGGGGGGCGUUCGAAAGGUUGCCCCUUCCUGCCGCUGGCCAGGACCCCAGUGCUGCGCCCUGGAUGGUGCACAGCUUAUGUCCUGCCUUCUGCCUCCCGCUGUCCUUCCCUCGUGCAGGGUGGGUGGGGAGGGGGCUCACGGGCCCAGGGGUCCCCCUGAGGGCUAGGCCCGUGUCCUCGUGUGACGGCUGGGACGCUCCAGGGGCAGGACUGAGUCAGCGCCCGCCAGGCACUCAGACCAGCACUUGGGGGGCUGUGGGGCUGUGGGGGCCCCUCCCAUCCCUGGGGGCCAGGGGUGGCGCGGCCGGGCCUCCCCCUUCACGUCCUCAUCUGUGGGACUGUGACGUUUUUACCUAUAGGAGGGGCUGUGUCAGCAUGCAGGUGACGGGACCAGCGCUGCACGCCCAGGCGAAGCUGUAGCACCUGCCAGUACGUUGCAUGUCACCUCCCAGGGCCUCCCUGGGGGCUUUUGUCCAGCGCUGAGAACCUGAGUGACCAGUGCACACCCAGGUGGGAAGGAAGAGGCCAGGCUGCCGCACGAAGGCUCCUGGGGACGGAAGCCAGGCAGAGCCGUCGUACCAUCUGGCUGCAGCUCCUGGGGAAUUUGCCGGAACCCUCUGGGGAGGCGGCAGCGAAAGUCAGGAGAAAUGCAGGUGAAAACACUCACCCCCCACAACCCCGAAGGAAGAAACCGUGAUGGGACGUUAAAAACACCGGGCAGGGGCCGAGCGGCAGGAACCGGGCAGGCGCGGGCCCCGCAGACAAGGCCCCACGCGGCGGCUUGAGCGUCACACAGUCCGGCAAACUGGAUCCCGAGAGGACAAAGCCAAGGGCGUUACCUACAGCUUCAGCAGGGGAUCAAGAUGAUGGUGAGAGUGUUUGAUGACGCUGGCAGUUCUCCAAACGAGGCGCGCGGCGACCACACAGCCCAGCGGGGGCCCUCGGGCAUCUCGCCAAAGGAAAGGUACGUUUUCGUCCACUCAGAAAACCGCAGGCAGGUGUCCGCGGCAGCGUUAUUUAGAGCAGCCCCUCGGCCGGGUUUUCCAACAUCCGCCUCUAAUCCCGAGGCUCUGGACACCAGCCAGUGUGUUCUGAUGCCACGGGCCUGGGGUACGUGUCGGGGCCCCUGGUCGAGGGCCCAGCCCCACAGGACGGCCCCCACUUCCGACGCCAGCCACGUGUCCAGGGCCACCCGUGCUGCUGAUGGACCGGCUGUGGAUCGGGGUUCCCGUCCCCCCUCCCCAGGUUUGAUCACUUCCGGGACCGGCUCAUGGGGCUCAGGAGCGUGUUUUACUUAGUACACCUGCUUGUUAGAAAAGACGCUGCUCAGGAAGAGCCGGGGGAGAGAUGCAGGGUCGGGGUGGGGGUGGAGCUUCCGUGCCCUCCUGGGUGCGGCCCCCUCCCGGCUGCCCACCAGCCAGAGCCCGUUGGUUUGGGGCUUCUCUAGAAGGUCCCUUUUGGAGGCGUGGCUGGUUAAACCACUGGCCACAGCGACUAACUCAUCCUCCAGCCCCUCUCCCUUCCCCAGAGGUGUCUAAUUGUGUCUGGUCUUUUCGGAGACCCGUGCCCAUCCUGGUGUGACCUAGGGGUCUGCAGCACGGGUCAUCUCAUUAGCUGACAAGGACAUUUAUUAUUCCAAGAUGCCCAGGGUUUUAGGAACCCUGUGCCAGGGACCAGAACAAAGACUACAAAUUAAUUUGUUUCUUUAAUUUUUUUUUUUUUUUUUUUUAGGGCCGCACCUGUGGCACACGGAGGUUCCCAGGCUAGGGGUUGCAUCAGAGCUGCCGCUGCCAGCCUACAUCACAGCCACAGCCACGCAGGAUCCGAGCCGCGUCUGCGACCUACACCACAGCUCACGGCAAGACCGGAUCCUUAACCCACGGAGCGAGGCCAGGGAUCGAACCUGCAACCUCAUGGAUACUAGUCAGGUUUGUUACUGCUGAACCACAAUGAGAACUCCUAAUUUGUUUCUUAUAUCACGGGUGCCUUCUGGUCUCUGACUAGAGCCUCUAGCAAAACCACUGUAAAAGUCAAGAGAUACUGCAGUUUCCACUGUGGCUCAGUGGGUUAAGAAUCUGACUGCAGUGGCUCAGGUCGCUGUGGAGGCACAGGUUCAGUCCCUGGCCGGAGUGGGUUAAAGGAUCUGGCAUUGCUGCAGCUGCAGUUCGGAUUCAAUCCCUGGCCAGGAACUUCCAUGUGCCGCGGGCACAGCCAUUAAAAAAAAAGUCAAACCACAUUGGCACGUUGCCAGAGCCAGCCCAGUCCAUCACCCUGUGUGAGAAUGUCCCCAGGGCGAGGCCACACAGGAGCGGGCCUCACGAUGCGGUCAGAUUCCAAAACAGGAGUGCACCGGGCCCCGGCCCGCCUCUCAGGCCCUGGUGUAUGUGAGCUGUGGGGCGCCCUUGUCCCCAGCCUCUUUUGGGCACUGACUCUCUUCCUUUCAGCACGAGCCCAUGGGCCCAUUUCCUGACCCUUCACCCGCUGCCCACCUCCUCCGUGUGCACCCAGACUCCCGCCCGCAGGAUGGGUAACAGGUUCACAUGGAGCCGGUCUAGACUGCAGGCCGCCGUGUGCACCCAGAGAGUGCCUGCCCUCAGCCCACUUCCGUCCACGCGGGUGCGGGGCUCGUGGGCUCUCCCACCCCCGGGGGACGCUGCUGCUCUUGCUGUCGGCCCCAGGUUCGCACAGGGGGGUGGGGGCAGCACCCCCACACACACACACCUCUUCAGGCCCUGACAUCAGGUUCACAGACAGUGGCAGUUUCUCGCCCGAGGUCAUCUCUGUUUCUGGCCCUUGUAGCUGUAGACCUGGUCAUUUUUGGCAUUUUUUUGGUGGUUUUUUUUCUUUUUCCCUUGCUUUUUUAGGGCCGCACCUGCAGCAUAUGGAAAUGUGGAAGUUGCCAGGCUAGGGGCCGAAUCGGAGCUACAGCUGCCAGCUUGCCCCUGUCCACCCGUGCGGGGUGGGCGCCCUGCGGCCCAUCUCAGCCUCUCAGACCUGCGCUCAGGAGGGCAGCUCUGCCCGUGGCUGGGAGUGAGGCGCGGUCCAGCGAGUGCCUCGUGCUGAGGAAACCAUGGUCGGCCGCCCAGACGCAACACGUCUCUUCCCGUCUGCUCACCGCUUCUGAGCCUCUGCGUCCAGGAUUCCAGCGCCUUCUGAACCUGCCGAGGCUUCCCCUGAUGUUCCCGCCUGAGCACCCCCACGCCCCCAGAGUGAUUUCCGUGGGGCCCUCGUGGGCGUCCCUUUAACGUAGCCUUCAUGCUGCCCUCAUGCUCGUUGCCACUGCCCACGUGUCAGUAGAAACCCACAUGCAGGACUGUGCCCAGCAUUCAACCCUCCCACCGUGGCCGGCCGGCCGGCAGCCCGCCUGACGGAGGCCUGCGCCCUCUUCCUCCAUCCAGUCUGGCGCCUUCCAGACAGCAGGCAACUGCCGCCCGCAGGCCAAGCAGCGCCUUGAUGGUCAGUGGAGAGCUGUUCGUGGGGCACCGUCUGCUGAAUCCAGCCGCUCCCCGGGCUGCGGGAAGCCUCCCGGGAGGCCAUGGCUCUGUCCCCAGAGUGUUCCUCCCUCGUCCUCUGGACGCUCUGGGCCCUUCAGUUUCUGUGAUCAUUCUCCGUCCUCCGACCCCGGGGUGGCUCCAUGGGGUCUGACGACAAGGUGCUAAACCCCCCGAAUGGAGGUUCUCUUGUCCAGAGUCCGGGCGUCGUGGCUGGGAGGGUCCCGUGGGCUCCAGCCCCGGUCUCGGCGGCGUGUGGCCAUCGCACAAGACCUGCCCGCCCGGCGCCUCUGCUUCUGUUUCCCCUGCUGGUGGGGGGCUCAGGCCCUCUUACUGGUUCCCAUUUAGCUGGGCCAGGGAACCCGGCUCGAAGGGCGGGCUUGCCCGCCUCCUUCGCGAGCUCGGGCAGGGGAAGCGGCCCGCAGGGGCAGAGCCCGACCCCAAGGCGCAAGCAGGCACCAGAGGCGCCGUCACUUCUCAGGAGCCUGUGCCGACAGCCCCGCUGUCCUCCCAACCCUGACCUUGAGUCCACCAAGCCCGGCUCCUCGCAGUGCUGCCCCUGGGACCUCACCUACAGGGUGUGGUUUCACUGGGGAGGGAAGCGCCCCCGGCUGUGGCCUCAUAUCCGUAAUCCCCAUGUCCUAAAUCAUGAAGUAAAGCCUGGCCGCACCCCUGCCACCCC
Molecule: long non-coding RNA, 4413 nt
Filed under: Sus scrofa (pig)
Lineage: Eukaryota; Metazoa; Chordata; Mammalia; Artiodactyla; Suidae
Description: lncRNA (ENSSSCG00050008739.1)
Source: RNAcentral